RNAcentral lists this ribosomal RNA (375 nucleotides) under uncultured bacterium. RNAcentral describes it as "bacterial SSU rRNA". It matches the Rfam family "Bacterial small subunit ribosomal RNA", at positions 30 to 404 of the family's 1533-position model. The record is from RNAcentral.
AUUGAACGCUGGCGGCAUGCCUUACACAUGCAAGUCGAACGGCAGCACGGGAGCUUGCUCCUGGUGGCGAGUGGCGAACGGGUGAGUAAUACAUCGGAACGUACCCUGAAGUGGGGGAUAACGUAGCGAAAGUUACGCUAAUACCGCAUAUUCUGUGAGCAGGAAAGAGGGGGAUCGCAAGACCUCUUGCUUUAGGAGCGGCCGAUGUCGGAUUAGCUAGUUGGUGAGGUAAAGGCUCACCAAGGCGACGAUCCGUAGCGGGUCUGAGAGGAUGAUCCGCCACACUGGGACUGAGACACGGCCCAGACUCCUACGGGAGGCAGCAGUGGGGAAUUUGGACAAUGGGCGCAAGCCUGAUCCAGCCAUGCCGCGUGA